AUUUAAAUACAUCUUAUGUUGAGGUUCAAC
This is a non-coding RNA of Clostridium autoethanogenum DSM 10061, 30 nucleotides long. The record is from Rfam. Lineage: Bacteria; Bacillati; Bacillota; Clostridia; Eubacteriales; Clostridiaceae.